This 294-nucleotide ribosomal RNA is filed under the name uncultured bacterium. Its description in RNAcentral is "partial 16S ribosomal RNA". It matches the Rfam family "Bacterial small subunit ribosomal RNA", at positions 334 to 645 of the family's 1533-position model. The record is from RNAcentral.
UACUCCUACGGGGGGCAGCAGUGGGGAAUAUUGCACAAUGGGGGAAACCCUGAUGCAGCGACGCCGCGUGAAGGAAGAAGUAUUUCGGUAUGUAAACUUCUAUCAGCAGGGAAGAAAGUGACGGUACCUGACUAAGAAGCCCCGGCUAACUACGUGCCAGCAGCCGCGGUAAUACGUAGGGGGCAAGCGUUAUCCGGAUUUACUGGGUGUAAAGGGAGCGUAGGCGGCGAUGUAAGUCAGAAGUGAAAGCCCGGGGCUCAACUCCGGGACUGCUUUUGACACUGUAUGGCUAGA